CAAUAGCGUAUAUUAAAGUUGUUGCAGUUAGAACGCUCGUAGUCGGAUUUCGGGGCGGGCCGACCGGUCUGCCGAUGGGUACGCACUGGUCGGCGCGUCCUUCCUUCCGGAGACCGUGCCUACUCUUAACUGAGCGGGGGCGGGAGACGGAUCGUUUACUUUGAAAAAAUCAGAGUGUUUCAAGCAGGCAGCUCGCUCUUGCAUGGAUUAGCAUGGGAUAAUGAAAUAGGACUUUGGUGCUAUUUUGUUGGUUUCGAACACCGAAGUAAUGAUUAACAGGGACAGUCAGGGGCACUCGUAUUCCGCCGAGAGAGGUGAAAUUCCCAGACCAGCGGAAGACGAACUACUGCGAAAGCAUUUGCCAGGGAUGUUUUCACUG
RNAcentral lists this ribosomal RNA (379 nucleotides) under uncultured eukaryote. RNAcentral describes it as "partial 18S ribosomal RNA". It matches the Rfam family "Eukaryotic small subunit ribosomal RNA", at positions 592 to 975 of the family's 1831-position model. The record is from RNAcentral.